This 71-nucleotide transfer RNA is filed under the name Marmota monax (woodchuck). RNAcentral's name for it is "tRNA.Gly". It matches the Rfam family "tRNA". Rfam says of the family: Transfer RNA (tRNA) molecules are approximately 80 nucleotides in length. Their secondary structure includes four short double-helical elements and three loops (D, anti-codon, and T loops). Lineage: Eukaryota; Metazoa; Chordata; Mammalia; Rodentia; Sciuridae. The record is from RNAcentral.
GGGGUUGUGGCUCAGUGGUAGAGCGUUCAUCUCCCAUGUGCGAGGCCCUGGGUUCGAUCCUCAGCACCACA